Molecule: non-coding RNA, 885 nt
Organism: Ceratotherium simum simum (southern white rhinoceros)
Lineage: Eukaryota; Metazoa; Chordata; Mammalia; Perissodactyla; Rhinocerotidae
Source: RefSeq, a predicted model, not a curated record
AGGAUGUAACCUCCGGGAGUGACUCGGUGACACCGAGUUUGUCCCGCGCAGAAACACUUCAAUGUGAAUCAGAUAAGCUGAAAACAAGCCCAGAACUCAGGGUUAUAUCUACCAGAAACUACGCUUCUAGAGAACGCUGCCCAGCUCUCCAAGUCCAAGGCAGCUACCGCGCGUGGUGUUUGUGAUUUUAUUUUAUAGAGUGAGCUUUCUGCGUGAGGUUCUGGAGCGUGAGUUGGGAAGAAUACGAGCGAUUUUCAGUCGUCCGCAAACAGACACUCAUGGGAGGAAAAUCUCAGGGUGACUGCUCACCUCCCCUUCCUCCUAGGGCCCCGAAGUCGGAGGCCCUAAGCCAUGGGCUGUAUCUCAGAAUCGGUUCAGCAUAUCUGGCCGGAGAAAUUGGUUAACAUUUGCUGAGAAUAAAACCCCGGCGGUUCCAGCAGCCAUUUUGAAUUAAAUUUCCCACCCCGACAAGCCCUCGUCCCUCUGCUGCACAUCCAGGACCUGGUGGAGGAGAAAGGCGCUGGGCGCAGGGGUUGGGAAAGCUCUUUCAAGUGGGUUCCUCCACGGCAGCCUCCUGAAGCCCUGGGAUCGGGGGACCUCGGUGGCAGGCGCUCAGCUAACUCGGGGAAAGGAACUCUAUGGCUGCAGGACCUACUGUCAGGGGGCUGCACCUACCGACCCCGAACCCACGGCCCUCGCAGAGCAGGAAGCCUCCUCCUCAGCUCCCUGCACGCUUCCCUUCCUUCGCCGAUGGUCCCCACCACCUCCAAAAGAAAGUUCCUUCAAAUGUUCCUGCGGUAAAGCAUUUCAUUUUGUCUCUGCGGAACGGCAAAGCAGCUAGUAUUGCGAGGGGCCUAGAUGUCGCUUAUCUCAACCCAUAAAAAA